Molecule: long non-coding RNA, 1325 nt
Organism: Acinonyx jubatus (cheetah)
Lineage: Eukaryota; Metazoa; Chordata; Mammalia; Carnivora; Felidae
Exons: 2
Source: RefSeq, a predicted model, not a curated record
UCUGGGGCGCCGCGACGCCUUUCCCAAGGAAGAGACCUGGAAGGAGGACCAAGAAAAGUGUGUUCCUUCCGGCCUCAUCCUUCCCCUAGGAGUUUAAGAACCCGACUGAUCCUUUCCUUUCCAGCCUAAAAACGGUUCACUCCCCCUCCCCCCAAAUCAUUCUCCGCAGACAAGCCCAAACCCGCGCAAAGCGAGACGCACGCGCGCACCAAGAAAACAUCAAUUUCCAUACCGGGUGAGGUUUUGUAAAAUACAUUUCAUUUGUCAGUCUUUUCCUCCAGGACUGGCAGGUAAGACACACUUUACGCACCGAAGAUGACACACUUUACGCACCGAAGAUGCGUUACCGGAUGGCAGCCGUUUUUGUGCUCGGACACCAGGGCGGUUUCACCUCCAGGUUACGGAUUCCAAACUUAGCUCCACCCGAGCGGAAAAUGGCCGGUGCGCCGCCUCCCCUCCCCGAGGCUGCCGAAGCCGCCGCCGGCCCCUGCCCCCCUCUUGACCGAUCCCCGAAGGACUUGCGUCGGAUCGGAUCCAACACCUUUCCCUGGCGCGGUAGUGCUGUGCUCUUUGGGGACGCAUUGUAGGGUACCCCGAUGAAAGACGCGAUCCCCUCUCCAGCCCCGUUCCUUGUGCCGCUUUACCUUUCCGCUCGGCACCGCCUCGCGGGCCUCUUAGCCCCUCUCUUCUGUCCCCAGGUCCGUGCGCAAACAGCCCCAGACCUCUCCAGUCAGGCUGCACCCGGCCCCGCCGCCAGAUCAGCUGCGCCAAAAGCCUCUUUGUUCUCGGCUGUCCUCGGAGCCUCCAGCAGCCGUGUCCCCGCUAAAGCUCUGGCAGCACUGUGUGUCGAUGCUCCUUGAAGCUUCAGCCUCUUCUCGAUGGGAGUUUAACCUUUGCUCUGAAGCGAGGUUUUGUUAAGAGACACGGGUCUGUACAAACGAGGUGAGAUCAGCCUUCGCCUCUUACCACAACCGUUGUUCGGAAGGGUUUCUGUGCCUCAUCGUCUGCAGAUGUCACUUGGGAGUUGAGUCCUUUUUAGCUUUGAGGAACGGCCCAGCAAGGGGGCCCCUCCCAAACACCUUGCCCGAGCUUACUUUGGGUUCAUCCCCAGGCUUCUUGAAGAUUAAUUCACGGUGGCGGCUCCCCGCAACCCCCCCCCAACAGCACCUGAGCUGAGAGGACUUUUACCCUGUCGGGUUACCGCCGAGCUGUAUCAGGUGAAAGCGGGAACCUCCAGACCAUCUGUUGUUAAAGAAAAAUUAAUAACGGAACACGUAUAGAGCAAACACUUUGUACUGCUGCAUAAUAAAUGUGGAAUGCAGUGA